AGAAUCUUUAUUAAGUGAAAGUUUAAUUCCACUGAGCUAAAUUGAAAUUACAUGAAUGAGCAGGGUAGGGAGAACUCUAGCUCAGUCCAAUGCCACAGAAACUCCCCACAUCAAAGCAGGCUGUCCAAUCAUAAGCAUUACAUCACCACAAUUUACUCUGAUUGGCUGAUCAGACCUCAAGAGUGGAAACUGUUACUAGCCCCUUGUAAAUAAAGGCGCAUUUAUGGCUGUCAAAAGUAGUUUCCAUUGUUGUCAACUGCACCACAAAUGAACUGAAAACAUACCCAGCUUAUGUCAGGAACAGAUUCACACCUGAGACAGUC
Chelonoidis abingdonii (Abingdon island giant tortoise) is the source of this 323-nucleotide non-coding RNA. The record is from RefSeq and is a predicted model, not a curated record. Lineage: Eukaryota; Metazoa; Chordata; Testudines; Testudinidae.